CUGCCCUGAACGAGGUUCUCCUCUACCCUCAGUCCCCUCAGAAAGACUAGGACCUGCCCUGAACGAGGUUCUCCUCUACCCUCUGUCCCCUCAGAAAGAAUAGGACCUGCCCUGAAUGAGGUUCUCCUCUACCCCCAGUCCCCUCAGAAAGAAUAGGACCUGCCCUGAACGAGGUUCUCCUCUACCCCCAGUCCCCUCAGACAGAAUAGGACCUGCCCUGAACGAGGUUCUCCUCUACCCUCAGUCCCCUCAGAAAGAAUAGGAUCUGCCCUGAACGAGGUUCUCCUCUACCCCCAGUCCCCUCAGAAAGAAUAGGACCUGCCCUGAACGAGGUUCUCCUCUACCCCCAGUCCCCUCAGACAGAAUAGGACCUGCCCUGAACGAGGUUCUCCUCUACCCUCUGUCCCCUCAGAAAGAAUAGGACCUGCCCUGAACGAGGUUCUCCUCUACCCCCAGUCCCCUCAGAAAGAACAGGACCUGCCCUGAACGAGGUUCUCCUCUACCCCCAGUCCCCUCAGACAGAAUAGGACCUGCCCUGAACGAGGUUCUCCUCUACCCUCAGUCCCCUCAGACAGAACAGGACCUGCCCUGAAUGAGGUUCUCUACCCUCUGUCCCCUCAGAAAGACUAGGACCUGCCCUGAAUGAGGUUCUCUACCCCCAGUCCCCUCAGAAAGAAUAGGACCUGGUUUGUGAUCUAAAAAAAAUCAGACAAUAUCAGGAACUGCAUCUCAGCUGUACUUACUGUCUGUUGGUGGGGGGCGCUUAACAGAAGGUCCACUAUAGGGCCCUGGGCAACAUGUGCACUAUAUAGGGAAUGAGGGGGGUGUGACUGAGUGAAGUCAUCCACUCUGCCCUCAGUCCCCUCAGGGGGGGGGGUGUGACUGAGUGAAGUCAUCCACUCUGCCCUCAGUCCCCUCAGGGGGGGGUGUGACUGAGUGAAGUCAUCCACUCUGCCCUCAGUCCCCUCAGGGGGGGGUGACUGAGUGAAGUCAUCCACUCUGCCCUCAGUCCCCUCAGGGGGUGUGACUGAGUGAAGUCAUCCACUCUGCCCUCAGUCCCCUCAGGGGGUGACUGAGUGAAGUCAUCCACUCUGCCCUCAGUCCCCUCAGGGGGGGUGUGACUGAGUGAAGUCAUCCACUCUGCCCUCAACAGGAGAACUCUGGACCAGACUGACUAGGGAGGUGUUUACCCCGGUGGUCGUUACGACACCGUCACUUCCAGAAGGAAUUAACAGUGGAUCAAAAUGUAAAUAUUACGUUUUAUUGUAAAGAAGGAAUAAUAUGUUGGGAUGUAAAUAAAUUAGUUUGAUGGUUAGUUGUUGUUUGUUGUUUUGACAUAUGUAAUAUUAAAGGUGAGUCUGUGUCGUCAUUAAAGGUGUGAGCAGCAUGAUCCAUAGGACUGACUAUAACCAACAGCAUUUUAUACCCAACUGUUACUCACAAUUCAGCUUGACCACUGAGGAAAUGUGUUUGGUAAUGCUAACCUGCCUGUUAAAUAUAUACUGAACAAACAUGUCAAUGAUUUAAACUCCG
Oncorhynchus tshawytscha (Chinook salmon) is the source of this 1533-nucleotide long non-coding RNA. The record is from Ensembl. NCBI's taxonomy places the organism in Eukaryota, Metazoa, Chordata, Actinopteri, Salmoniformes, Salmonidae.